GGGUUGUGAGGUUAAGCGACUAAGCGUACACGGUGGAUGCCCUGGCAGUCAGAGGCGAUGAAGGACGUGCUAAUCUGCGAUAAGCGUCGGUAAGGUGAUAUGAACCGUUAUAACCGGCGAUUUCCGAAUGGGGAAACCCAGUGUGUUUCGACACACUAUCAUUAACUGAAUCCAUAGGUUAAUGAGGCGAACCGGGGGAACUGAAACAUCUAAGUACCCCGAGGAAAAGAAAUCAACCGAGAUUCCCCCAGUAGCGGCGAGCGAACGGGGAGCAGCCCAGAGCCUGAAUCAGUGUGUGUGUUAGUGGAAGCGUCUGGAAAGGCGCGCGAUACAGGGUGACAGCCCCGUACACAAAAAUGCACAUGCUGUGAGCUCGAUGAGUAGGGCGGGACACGUGGUAUCCUGUCUGAAUAUGGGGGGACCAUCCUCCAAGGCUAAAUACUCCUGACUGACCGAUAGUGAACCAGUACCGUGAGGGAAAGGCGAAAAGAACCCCGGCGAGGGGAGUGAAAAAGAACCUGAAACCGUGUACGUACAAGCAGUGGGAGCACGCUUAGGCGUGUGACUGCGUACCUUUUGUAUAAUGGGUCAGCGACUUAUAUUCUGUAGCAAGGUUAACCGAAUAGGGGAGCCGAAGGGAAACCGAGUCUUAACUGGGCGUUAAGUUGCAGGGUAUAGACCCGAAACCCGGUGAUCUAGCCAUGGGCAGGUUGAAGGUUGGGUAACACUAACUGGAGGACCGAACCGACUAAUGUUGAAAAAUUAGCGGAUGACUUGUGGCUGGGGGUGAAAGGCCAAUCAAACCGGGAGAUAGCUGGUUCUCCCCGAAAGCUAUUUAGGUAGCGCCUCGUGAAUUCAUCUCCGGGGGUAGAGCACUGUUUCGGCAAGGGGGUCAUCCCGACUUACCAACCCGAUGCAAACUGCGAAUACCGGAGAAUGUUAUCACGGGAGACACACGGCGGGUGCUAACGUCCGUCGUGAAGAGGGAAACAACCCAGACCGCCAGCUAAGGUCCCAAAGUCAUGGUUAAGUGGGAAACGAUGUGGGAAGGCCCAGACAGCCAGGAUGUUGGCUUAGAAGCAGCCAUCAUUUAAAGAAAGCGUAAUAGCUCACUGGUCGAGUCGGCCUGCGCGGAAGAUGUAACGGGGCUAAACCAUGCACCGAAGCUGCGGCAGCGACGCUUAUGCGUUGUUGGGUAGGGGAGCGUUCUGUAAGCCUGUGAAGGUGUGCUGUGAGGCAUGCUGGAGGUAUCAGAAGUGCGAAUGCUGACAUAAGUAACGAUAAAGCGGGUGAAAAGCCCGCUCGCCGGAAGACCAAGGGUUCCUGUCCAACGUUAAUCGGGGCAGGGUGAGUCGACCCCUAAGGCGAGGCCGAAAGGCGUAGUCGAUGGGAAACAGGUUAAUAUUCCUGUACUUGGUGUUACUGCGAAGGGGGGACGGAGAAGGCUAUGUUGGCCGGGCGACGGUUGUCCCGGUUUAAGCGUGUAGGCUGGUUUUCCAGGCAAAUCCGGAAAAUCAAGGCUGAGGCGUGAUGACGAGGUACUACGGUGCUGAAGCAACAAAUGCCCUGCUUCCAGGAAAAGCCUCUAAGCAUCAGGUAACAUCAAAUCGUACCCCAAACCGACACAGGUGGUCAGGUAGAGAAUACCAAGGCGCUUGAGAGAACUCGGGUGAAGGAACUAGGCAAAAUGGUGCCGUAACUUCGGGAGAAGGCACGCUGAUACGUAGGUGAAGUCCCUCGCGGAUGGAGCUGAAAUCAGUCGAAGAUACCAGCUGGCUGCAACUGUUUAUUAAAAACACAGCACUGUGCAAACACGAAAGUGGACGUAUACGGUGUGACGCCUGCCCGGUGCCGGAAGGUUAAUUGAUGGGGUCAGCGCAAGCGAAGCUCUUGAUCGAAGCCCCGGUAAACGGCGGCCGUAACUAUAACGGUCCUAAGGUAGCGAAAUUCCUUGUCGGGUAAGUUCCGACCUGCACGAAUGGCGUAAUGAUGGCCAGGCUGUCUCCACCCGAGACUCAGUGAAAUUGAACUCGCUGUGAAGAUGCAGUGUACCCGCGGCAAGACGGAAAGACCCCGUGAACCUUUACUAUAGCUUGACACUGAACAUUGAGCCUUGAUGUGUAGGAUAGGUGGGAGGCUUUGAAGUGUGGACGCCAGUCUGCAUGGAGCCGACCUUGAAAUACCACCCUUUAAUGUUUGAUGUUCUAACGUUGACCCGUGAUCCGGGUUGCGGACAGUGUCUGGUGGGUAGUUUGACUGGGGCGGUCUCCUCCUAAAGAGUAACGGAGGAGCACGAAGGUUGGCUAAUCCUGGUCGGACAUCAGGAGGUUAGUGCAAUGGCAUAAGCCAGCUUGACUGCGAGCGUGACGGCGCGAGCAGGUGCGAAAGCAGGUCAUAGUGAUCCGGUGGUUCUGAAUGGAAGGGCCAUCGCUCAACGGAUAAAAGGUACUCCGGGGAUAACAGGCUGAUACCGCCCAAGAGUUCAUAUCGACGGCGGUGUUUGGCACCUCGAUGUCGGCUCAUCACAUCCUGGGGCUGAAGUAGGUCCCAAGGGUAUGGCUGUUCGCCAUUUAAAGUGGUACGCGAGCUGGGUUUAGAACGUCGUGAGACAGUUCGGUCCCUAUCUGCCGUGGGCGCUGGAGAACUGAGGGGGGCUGCUCCUAGUACGAGAGGACCGGAGUGGACGCAUCACUGGUGUUCGGGUUGUCAUGCCAAUGGCACUGCCCGGUAGCUAAAUGCGGAAGAGAUAAGUGCUGAAAGCAUCUAAGCACGAAACUUGCCCCGAGAUGAGUUCUCCCUGAC
Molecule: ribosomal RNA, 2802 nt
Filed under: Escherichia coli
Lineage: Bacteria; Pseudomonadati; Pseudomonadota; Gammaproteobacteria; Enterobacterales; Enterobacteriaceae
Description: partial 23S ribosomal RNA
Rfam family: Bacterial large subunit ribosomal RNA
Source: RNAcentral